GAAGGAUGAAGAAAUUUAUCAGCUGUUCUCUGGUAUGAAAGAAUUUGGAUCGAGCAUUGAGGCUGUUCGGGUGAUCAGAGAUCCCAAUACUCUCCUAGGAAAAGGAAUUGCGUAUGUUUUGUUCAAAACGAGGGAGGCUGCGAACACUAUUUCUAGAAAGCGUAACUUGAAAUUACGAGAUCGCGAGCUGAGAGUGUCUCAUUCUAAAGCAGAUUCUACUCCAUCUAAGAGGAAAAGUUUAUCAACCGAAGACAGAUUUAGGUCCCCAGCAAAGAAGUUUGCAGCAGAUUCAGCUAGACCAGGCAGUAGUAGCUAUAAGGCUACAGCAAAGUCUGACAUGUCCUAUCAGGGCGUGAAGGCAAGCAAAUCUGGUGUCCAGAAAAAAACUCAAUCCAGGAUGAGCGACCGGGGAAAGUUGAAACCUAAAGCACAGUUAUCGACAAAGCCAAAAGAGCGCAUAGGAAAGAGACCAUCUGUUGCUGCCCGAAAAGCAAAAGAACUCAAGGCUGCUGCCUCUGGCUUGAAACAAAUGGGAACAAAACGGAAGAUGGACAACCGAACACCUGACACUGCAGGCAGAAAGAAGAAAUUUAGAAAAUCUUAGGUCAUACAUUCUCAACAAUGUUAUACAUGAAAGUGUUCAUUCAUAUGUUCACUUUUCAGGAUUAUAGUUCUCUGUUUCAUCUUUAAGAAUUAAAUCGUGUACUACUCCCUCUU
Molecule: unclassified non-coding RNA, 717 nt
Filed under: Hevea brasiliensis (rubber tree)
Lineage: Eukaryota; Viridiplantae; Streptophyta; Magnoliopsida; Malpighiales; Euphorbiaceae
Source: RNAcentral